RNAcentral lists this ribosomal RNA (254 nucleotides) under uncultured bacterium. RNAcentral's name for it is "partial 16S ribosomal RNA". It matches the Rfam family "Bacterial small subunit ribosomal RNA", at positions 524 to 776 of the family's 1533-position model. The record is from RNAcentral.
UACGUAGGGUCCGAGCGUUUGUCCGGAAUUACUGGGCGUAAAGAGCUCGUAGGUGGUUUGUCGCGUUGUUCGUGAAAACUCACAGCUUAACUGUGGGCGUGCGGGCGAUACGGGCAGACUGGAGUACUGCAGGGGAGACUGGAAUUCCUGGUGUAGCGGUGGAAUGCGCAGAUAUCAGGAGGAACACCGGUGGCGAAGGCGGGUCUCUGGGCAGUAACUGACGCUGAGGAGCGAAAGCGUGGGGAGCGAACAGG